CCUACGGGAGGCAGCAGUGGGGAAUCUUUCACAAUGGGCGAGAGCCUGAUGGAGCAACGCCGCGUGCAGGAUGAAGGCCUUCGGGUUGUAAACUGCUUUUAUAAGCGGGAAAUAUGAUGGUACCUUAUGAAUAAGGAUCGGCUAACAACGUGCCAGCAGCCGCGGUCAUACGUAGGAUCCGAGCAUUAUCCGGGGUGACUGGGUGUAAAAAGUUGCGUAGGUGGCAUAAUAAGUAGCUAGUGAAAUCUGGUGGCGCAACCAUUCAGACUAUUAGCUAAACUGUUAAGCUUGAGUCCGUUGGUGGUAACCGGAAUUUCUAGUGUAGGAGUGAAAUCCGUAGAUAUUAGAAAGAACACCAAUAGCGUAGGCAGGUUACUGGGACGGGUCUGACACUAAGGCACGAAAGCGUAGGGAGCAAACGGGAUUAGAUACCCUUGUAGUC
Molecule: ribosomal RNA, 442 nt
Filed under: uncultured bacterium
Lineage: Bacteria
Description: partial 16S ribosomal RNA
Rfam family: Bacterial small subunit ribosomal RNA
Source: RNAcentral